GUAAAUCUGGCUCAGUUGGGAGAGCGCAGCGCCCGCAUCGCUGAGGUCUGGGGUUCAAAUCCCCUCGUCUCCACCA
This 76-nucleotide transfer RNA is filed under the name Planctomycetes bacterium RIFCSPHIGHO2_02_FULL_52_58. RNAcentral's name for it is "tRNA-Ala". It matches the Rfam family "tRNA". Rfam says of the family: Transfer RNA (tRNA) molecules are approximately 80 nucleotides in length. Their secondary structure includes four short double-helical elements and three loops (D, anti-codon, and T loops). Further hydrogen bonds mediate the characteristic L-shaped molecular structure. tRNAs have two regions of fundamental functional importance: the anti-codon, which is responsible for specific mRNA codon recognition, and the 3' end, to which the tRNAs corresponding amino acid is attached (by aminoacyl-tRNA synthetases). tRNAs cope with the degeneracy of the genetic code in two manners: having more than one tRNA (with a specific anti-codon) for a particular amino acid; and 'wobble' base-pairing, i.e. permitting non-standard base-pairing at the 3rd anti-codon position. Lineage: Bacteria; Pseudomonadati; Planctomycetota. The record is from RNAcentral.